This 1114-nucleotide long non-coding RNA is filed under the name Numida meleagris (helmeted guineafowl). Its description in RNAcentral is "lncRNA (ENSNMEG00000002887.1)". The record is from RNAcentral. Lineage: Eukaryota; Metazoa; Chordata; Aves; Galliformes; Numididae.
GAAGCCCCAGCAAACUCACGGGGACGAGGGCAGGGCAGGGUGCAACGCACCGAGCUGCUUGCCCAGCCUCCUUCUCCUUGCUUGCAGGGUCAGGCUCACGUGCAACAUGAGCAUCCCGAGGUUUGUGCAACGAGGGGGUUUUGCUCCCCGGGGGUUGCCGAUGCAGAGCGAGGGAUGCUGCAGUGCCACGUUCUCCCCAUUGCCCCUACUGGUUUGGGGGCCGUGGGCUGCUGGGAGCACUGGGGGUUCACUGCCCCUUCCUGCAGCCCCCCACGCACAUCCUGGCUCCCUCGUUAGCCUGACCCCUGAUUACACUCCGCAGGCUCCGUAUCGCCGCCGUCGCCCUGGCAACGUGUCGUCUCCACGGCAACCGUGACAACCUUAUGUUCAUUAAUUUAAAAAGGUUCACGGUGUAACAAAUGAAAUAGUUAGGAGCUUGUCAGGGUGUUAAGGAGCAGGGGCUGACAACUCGCCCUCCUGUCAGCGCCCACCGGAGCUGCUGAGCCUCGUGGUCCGGGAGCAUCCCAGCAGCGCUGCAUCCCUGCGCUCUCGCUGGGGAUGCUGGGUUUGGUGCACAGCCAGAGGACACCGAGGUCACCCCUCCCUCCCUCCCUCCUUCCUUCCUUCCCUUCCUCCCUCCCUUCCCCUCCCUCCCUUCCUUCCUCUCCCUCCCUCCUUCCUUUCUCUUCUUCCUCCCUCCUUCCCUUCCUCCCUCCCUUCCUCUACCUCCCUUCCUUCCUCUCCUUCCUUCCUUUCUCCCUCUCCCUUCCUCCUUUUCUCUCCUUCCUCUCUCCCUCUCCCUCCCUCCUUUCUUCCCUCCUUCCCUCCCUUCCUUCCUUCCUUCCUUCCUUUCUUCCUCCCUUCCUCCCUCUCCCUUCCUCCUUUUCUCUCCUUCCUCUCUCUCUCUCCGUCCCUCCCUCCUCCUUCCUUCCCUCCUUCCCUCCCUUCCUCCCUCCUUCCUCUCCCUCCCUCCUUCCUUUCUCUUCUUCCUCCCUCCCUCCCUUCCUUCCUCCCUUUCUCUCCUUCCCUCUUCACCUUCCUUCCUUUUUCUCCUUUCUUCCUUCCUCCCUUCCUCCCUUCCUCCCUCUCCCUUCCUCCUUCCUUCCCUCCUUCC